CCCUUAGAUGUUCUGGGCUGCACGCGCGCUACACUGAUGCGCUCAACGAGUUUACGAACUUGCCCGGAAGGGUUGGUUAAUCUUUUUAAAACGCAUCGUGAUGGGGAUAGAUUAUUGCAAUUAUUAAUCUUCAACGAGGAAUUCCUAGUAAGCGCGAGUCAUCAGCUCGCACUGAUUACGUCCCUGCCCUUUGUACACACCGCCCGUCGCUCCUACCGAUUGGGUGAGCCGAUGAAACUCUCGGAUGUAGGCUAUUCAUAGCCCGCAGAAGAGAUUUGAAUCGUAGCGCUUAGAGGAAGGAGAAGUCGUAACA
Molecule: ribosomal RNA, 313 nt
Filed under: uncultured eukaryote
Lineage: Eukaryota
Description: partial 18S ribosomal RNA
Rfam family: Eukaryotic small subunit ribosomal RNA
Source: RNAcentral